This 253-nucleotide ribosomal RNA is filed under the name uncultured bacterium. RNAcentral's name for it is "partial 16S ribosomal RNA". It matches the Rfam family "Bacterial small subunit ribosomal RNA", at positions 524 to 776 of the family's 1533-position model. The record is from RNAcentral.
UACAGAGGUGGCAAGCGUUGUUCGGAAUUACUGGGCGUAAAGGGCGCGUAGGCGGCUUCCUCAGUCAGACGUGAAAUCCCUAGGCUUAACCUAGGAACUGCGUCUGAUACUGGGAGGCUUGAGUUCGGGAGAGGGAUGUAGAAUUCCAGGUGUAGCGGUGAAAUGCGUAGAUAUCUGGAGGAAUACCGGUGGCGAAGGCGGCAUCCUGGACCGAAACUGACGCUGAGGCGCGAAAGCUAGGGUAGCAAACGGG